UACGUAGGGUGCGAGCGUUGUCCGGAAUUAUUGGGCGUAAAGAGCUCGUAGGCGGUUUGUCGCGUCUGCCGUGAAAGUCCGGGGCUCAACUCCGGAUCUGCGGUGGGUACGGGCAGACUAGAGUGAUGUAGGGGAGACUGGAAUUCCUGGUGUAGCGGUGAAAUGCGCAGGUAUCAGGAGGAACACCGAUGGCGAAGGCAGGUCUCUGGGCAUUAACUGACGCUGAGGAGCGAAAGCAUGGGGAGCGAACAGG
Molecule: ribosomal RNA, 253 nt
Filed under: uncultured bacterium
Lineage: Bacteria
Description: partial 16S ribosomal RNA
Rfam family: Bacterial small subunit ribosomal RNA
Source: RNAcentral